This 291-nucleotide long non-coding RNA is filed under the name Serinus canaria (Common canary). RNAcentral's name for it is "lncRNA (ENSSCAG00000010518.1)". The record is from RNAcentral. Lineage: Eukaryota; Metazoa; Chordata; Aves; Passeriformes; Fringillidae.
AGAGAAUAGGGCUUCGGAGCAGGCCUGACCGGCUUUGUAUAGGAAAAGUCCUUGGAAAUCUGCACUAGCUUCUCUGAGCAAGAGUGUCUGGGAGUUCUCCGAGGUUUUAACCUCAAGAGGAUUACAUUCAGGUAUUAAGAGCAAAGGAACACAGAGAAGAAGAGUGGCUGGAUGAACUUGGGGGUGUUUCAGAACUGGCAGUGAAAAGGCACCUGGGAAGCUGAUAAGGUGAGUAAUAUUUGUCAUGUUCUUUGGAGAUUUAUGUUUUUCUGUGGUAGAUGUGUGUUUCAG